Onychomys torridus (southern grasshopper mouse) is the source of this 306-nucleotide long non-coding RNA. RefSeq lists it as uncharacterized. NCBI's taxonomy places the organism in Eukaryota, Metazoa, Chordata, Mammalia, Rodentia, Cricetidae. The transcript is spliced from 3 exons. The record is from RefSeq and is a predicted model, not a curated record.
CAUUUACACACUCACUCAUAAACUCAUACACACACACACACACCUUGCAAGCACUGAUGUCACCGUGAGACCUCAGCGCCCUGUAGCCUGAGAGCCAACCAUCUGACCUUCCUCGGUGACCAGAUUACAGAGAGGAGACCAGAGUGAUGGCACAAGUUUCCUGAGGUCGAGAGUGCCCGGGCUGCCUUGAUUUCAGUCCAGAGCCCCUGGUGGCACACAGCUACAGCGUUGAUCCUCCUGUGGGCACCUGUGGACAGAACGGUCCACAGGACACAUGGUGCCAGCAUUGUGACUUCAAGACAAUCC